GGCAGUGUGGUAUAGUGGUUUGAACACUGGGUUAUGACUCCAGAGAUCCAAGUUCAAACCUUUGCUUCGUCA
Molecule: transfer RNA, 72 nt
Filed under: Anolis carolinensis (green anole)
Lineage: Eukaryota; Metazoa; Chordata; Lepidosauria; Squamata; Anolidae
Rfam family: tRNA
About the family: Transfer RNA (tRNA) molecules are approximately 80 nucleotides in length. Their secondary structure includes four short double-helical elements and three loops (D, anti-codon, and T loops).
Source: Rfam by way of RNAcentral